This 263-nucleotide long non-coding RNA is filed under the name Elaeis guineensis (African oil palm). Its description in RNAcentral is "long non-coding RNA (EGUI_LNC045806)". Lineage: Eukaryota; Viridiplantae; Streptophyta; Magnoliopsida; Arecales; Arecaceae. The record is from RNAcentral.
AAGUAGAGAAACCAAGCAAAAUAUGUGAAAGAUGCAGCGAACAAAUCAAACACAGAAACACCAAGAUUUACGUGGAAAACCUCCUCAAUAUGAGGAGUAAAAACCACGGCCCGACACCCACAACUUCCACUAUAAUCAAAUAAUGGGAAUACACAAGAUUCCUCUCUAGUUAUCAACAACCAGAGGCAUACAUCAACUUUUCAACACAAUAAAUCAUCAAGAAUCAAUAUUCUUGGCAGCCACAAACAUCUAAUGAUGCAACA